RNAcentral lists this ribosomal RNA (3056 nucleotides) under Campylobacter jejuni. RNAcentral's name for it is "23S ribosomal RNA". It matches the Rfam family "Bacterial large subunit ribosomal RNA". Lineage: Bacteria; Pseudomonadati; Campylobacterota; Epsilonproteobacteria; Campylobacterales; Campylobacteraceae. The record is from RNAcentral.
AGGUAAGCUACUAAGAGCGAAUGGUGGAUGCCUUGACUGGUAGAGGCGAUGAAGGACGUACUAGACUGCGAUAAGCUACGGGGAGCUGUCAAGAAGCUUUGAUCCGUAGAUUUCCGAAUGGGGCAACCCAAUGUAUAGAGAUAUACAUUACCUAUAUAGGAGCGAACGAGGGGAAUUGAAACAUCUUAGUACCCUCAGGAAAAGAAAUCAAUAGAGAUUGCGUCAGUAGCGGCGAGCGAAAGCGCAAGAGGGCAAACCCAGUGCUUGCACUGGGGGUUGUAGGACUGCAAUGUGCAAGAGGUAAGUUUAGCAGAACAUUCUGGAAAGUAUAACCAUAGAGGGUGAUAGUCCCGUAUGCGAAAAACAAACCUUAGCUAGCAGUAUCCUGAGUAGGGCGGGACACGAGGAAUCCUGUCUGAAUCCGGGUCGACCACGAUCCAACCCUAAAUACUAAUACCAGAUCGAUAGUGCACAAGUACCGUGAGGGAAAGGUGAAAAGAACUGAGGUGAUCAGAGUGAAAUAGAACCUGAAACCAUUUGCUUACAAUCAUUCAGAGCACUAUGUAGCAAUACAGUGUGAUGGACUGCCUUUUGCAUAAUGAGCCUGCGAGUUGUGGUGUCUGGCAAGGUUAAGCAAACGCGAAGCCGUAGCGAAAGCGAGUCUGAAUAGGGCGCUUAGUCAGAUGCUGCAGACCCGAAACGAAGUGAUCUAUCCAUGAGCAAGUUGAAGCUAGUGUAAGAACUAGUGGAGGACUGAACCCAUAGGCGUUGAAAAGCCCCGGGAUGACUUGUGGAUAGGGGUGAAAGGCCAAUCAAACUUCGUGAUAGCUGGUUCUCUCCGAAAUAUAUUUAGGUAUAGCGUUGUGUCGUAAUAUAAGGGGGUAGAGCACUGAAUGGGCUAGGGCAUACACCAAUGUACCAAACCCUAUCAAACUCCGAAUACCUUAUAUGUAAUCACAGCAGUCAGGCGGCGAGUGAUAAAAUCCGUCGUCAAGAGGGAAACAACCCAGACUACCAGCUAAGGUCCCUAAAUCUUACUUAAGUGGAAAACGAUGUGAAGUUACUUAAACAACCAGGAGGUUGGCUUAGAAGCAGCCAUCCUUUAAAGAAAGCGUAAUAGCUCACUGGUCUAGUGAUUUUGCGCGGAAAAUAUAACGGGGCUAAAGUAAGUACCGAAGCUGUAGACUUGCACACAACUUAGAUUAUUUAAGUUUAGAAUAUGAGAAACUAAGUUAUAUGUUUAGUUAUAUUUUUACUGAUUUUUAUAGAGUAAAGAUAGAAAUAAAACUUAGUAAAAUCAGUAAAAAUAUUCUUAGACUAAAGUUAAGUAGUUUAAGUUGUGUGCAAGUGGUAGGAGAGCGUUCUAUUUGCGUCGAAGGUAUACCGGUAAGGAGUGCUGGAGCGAAUAGAAGUGAGCAUGCAGGCAUGAGUAGCGAUAAUUAAUGUGAGAAUCAUUAACGCCGUAAACCCAAGGUUUCCUACGCGAUGCUCGUCAUCGUAGGGUUAGUCGGGUCCUAAGUCGAGUCCGAAAGGGGUAGACGAUGGCAAAUUGGUUAAUAUUCCAAUACCAACAUUAGUGUGCGAUGGAAGGACGCUUAGGGCUAAGGGGGCUAGCGGAUGGAAGUGCUAGUCUAAGGUCGUAGGAGGUUGUACAGGCAAAUCCGUAUAACAAUACUCCGAGAACUGAAAGGCUUUUUGAAGUCUUCGGAUGGAUAGAAGAACCCCUGAUGCCGUCGAGCCAAGAAAAUUUUCUAAGUUUAGCUAAUGUUGCCCGUACCGUAAACCGACACAGGUGGGUGGGAUGAGUAUUCUAAGGCGCGUGGAAGAACUCUCUUUAAGGAACUCUGCAAAAUAGCACCGUAUCUUCGGUAUAAGGUGUGGUUAGCUUUGUAUUAGGAUUUACUCCGAAAGCAAGGAAACUUACAACAAAGAGUCCCUCCCGACUGUUUACCAAAAACACAGCACUCUGCUAACUCGUAAGAGGAUGUAUAGGGUGUGACGCCUGCCCGGUGCUCGAAGGUUAAUUGAUGGGGUUAGCAUUAGCGAAGCUCUUGAUCGAAGCCCGAGUAAACGGCGGCCGUAACUAUAACGGUCCUAAGGUAGCGAAAUUCCUUGUCGGUUAAAUACCGACCUGCAUGAAUGGCGUAACGAGAUGGGAGCUGUCUCAAAGAGGGAUCCAGUGAAAUUGUAGUGGAGGUGAAAAUUCCUCCUACCCGCGGCAAGACGGAAAGACCCCGUGGACCUUUACUACAGCUUGACACUGCUACUUGGAUAAGAAUGUGCAGGAUAGGUGGGAGGCUUUGAGUAUAUGACGCCAGUUGUAUAUGAGCCAUUGUUGAGAUACCACUCUUUCUUAUUUGGGUAGCUAACCAGCUUGAGUUAUCCUCAAGUGGGACAAUGUCUGGUGGGUAGUUUGACUGGGGCGGUCGCCUCCCAAAUAAUAACGGAGGCUUACAAAGGUUGGCUCAGAACGGUUGGAAAUCGUUCGUAGAGUAUAAAGGUAUAAGCCAGCUUAACUGCAAGACAUACAAGUCAAGCAGAGACGAAAGUCGGUCUUAGUGAUCCGGUGGUUCUGUGUGGAAGGGCCAUCGCUCAAAGGAUAAAAGGUACCCCGGGGAUAACAGGCUGAUCUCCCCCAAGAGCUCACAUCGACGGGGAGGUUUGGCACCUCGAUGUCGGCUCAUCGCAUCCUGGGGCUGGAGCAGGUCCCAAGGGUAUGGCUGUUCGCCAUUUAAAGCGGUACGCGAGCUGGGUUCAGAACGUCGUGAGACAGUUCGGUCCCUAUCUGCCGUGGGCGUAAGAAGAUUGAAGAGAUUUGACCCUAGUACGAGAGGACCGGGUUGAACAAACCACUGGUGUAGCUGUUGUUCUGCCAAGAGCAUCGCAGCGUAGCUAAGUUUGGAAAGGAUAAACGCUGAAAGCAUCUAAGCGUGAAGCCAACUCUAAGAUGAAUCUUCUCUAAGCUCUCUAGAAGACUACUAGUUUGAUAGGCUGGGUGUGUAAUGGAUGAAAGUCCUUUAGCUGACCAGUACUAAUAGAGCGUUUGGCUUAUCUUU